This is a long non-coding RNA of Triticum dicoccoides, 2738 nucleotides long. RefSeq lists it as uncharacterized. The record is from RefSeq and is a predicted model, not a curated record. The transcript is spliced from 5 exons. NCBI's taxonomy places the organism in Eukaryota, Viridiplantae, Streptophyta, Magnoliopsida, Poales, Poaceae.
UCCUCUGCUGGUCUCCUCGAUUUCGCCCUCUCUCGUUUCCUCCCCCGAGUGGCGGCUAGGGUUACCGCAGUCGCCGCCCAAUCCCUGCUCCUAGCUUCGGCCCCCACACACAUCUCCUACUUCUCUCCCUCUCUCCCUCGCCUCCAGGCACGCACAGGCAACCGCUCAAGAUGAGCAACAACGACUGGAUGCGGCCGCCGGAGGAGCAGCGGUGGCCGACGGGCUCGUGGCAGCAACGACUGCAGAGAGCUGCGGCACCGAACUGCGCGGCUCCGAUUCUGCAUCGACGCCUCCUUCCUCCGUCGCCUAGAUAUAAGGCGGUUCUCUCCUAGCCAACCUCCAGCCAUGCCUCUUCCUCUCCUCUUUGACCGGCUCUCUCCUCCUCUGGAGAAGUAGCACAUGGCGGAGCUGCAUCUGAUCCGCUGCCGACGGCGCACGUCUCAGCCCCAAGCCCGGGCUGUUUGAAGCAAUUGCUAUUAAGGUCACCGUCAGACUAUCAGAUCUCUAGGAGGUGGUGUCGGGUGGUGAUGUCAGGUGGGCAAGGCCAGCUGCUGAUGUGAAGAAGACGAACACGCAGGAGCGGGUCAAGCCACUUACUGAUCCCUACAUCUCAUUAUACUCUGCUCACAAGGCGUUCGACAGAUUGCAUCGUAUGUUCUUUUUUCACCAUUUUCUCAUAAUAUCAAUUGGAGUCUGACAUUUUCCCUUCAUAUAUAUGGUGACUGAUACAAGGGCAUGCUAAUUAUUUUUUACUUAUUUCGAUUUGACGGUCUUGUCUAAUUGCUUGAUGGAGUGAUAGUGUCAUUUCUCUGUUUCUCAUAUCAAUUUAUCCAGUUUGAUUUGCGAUCAGAAAAUAGAACCACUGGGAUUAGAUUGUGUACGUGGUUUUGACUUCAGGCCUUUAUCCUGUAGAGAUCAGAUAGGGAACCAGGAAUUUUCAAUAAUCUUCUUCUCUACUAAUACUCCUACGAAUCAGUGAUGAAGUUUGUAGGUGUGAUAACAUAAUGAAACUAUCUGAUAGUAACAGGAGGUGUUUAGCAGGAACCACAUCAGCAGGAACCAUCGCAGUGACCUUGUUGCAGUAGUUUCUUAGGUAUGCUGUAUAGGUUUAGUUAAGGUAUAAUCAGCCUGGUCAUCAAACGGCUCAAGUUCUUGGUUCAGUGAGUGACCUGUUCAACCAGGGAUUACUUCUCAGUACUGGCGGUUUAAAUUUGAAAGGCCGCUAGACCCUCGUAAGUAUUUUUAUGGUACAUAUUUUCAUCUCAAGUACAGUCAGGGGUAAUCGAAUACGGAGUACAUACUGCCAAUAAGCAAAAUCCACCAGCAAUAGGUCAUUCAGGAUUAGGUUUGGUACUUUAUAGCUGAAUAUGUGAUGUGCUUAGAAAAGAUUGCAACACACCAUACUCUAGGGAGGCACUUCAGACUAGUGGUACAUAUUUAUUGUACUCUUGGUGUUAUUAUUUUUGAAUCAUUUACCUGCCUCUUAUCUUUCUACAUAGAGUAUGGUGAUGUACAGAGCUCUUGAUACAUUUCAAUAAAUAUUUUACUAGAUACAUUGCCGUAGGCGCUAAAAUACUAUAGCUAGACAUGGAUUGGACAGGAAUUCUGCAGCAUUUGCUUCAAUGUCUUUGCAGAUCCUGGGUAGCGUGGAUUCAGUUCAUGAUAAUACAUUUGUCCGCACCCAGACUGAAACUAAUGUUAAGGAGUUUGUGACACUAUGUCAAAUAACACGUAAGAGUAAUUAUUGGCAUUCGAUAUUAAAUCUAUCUCAUUUAUUUCUUUGCAUACUUUUGAAUUGUGUUUUCUCUUAAAGGAAACAGUCUUUUGCUGGAUGACUAAUUUAUGUAUUCCUGUUGACCAGAAUUUUGUUGGCCUUUCUAUUUCUGAUGGGUACAUUGCUAACGAGAUUUUUUUUUAUGUUUGAUGAACCUCCUAAAGCUAAAAGAAAAGAAAAAGUUGUUCAUAGUGAAGAGAUUUGAUUGGUUGCUUCUGUAUAUAAACAUGCGGGAUACAGUUCUACCAAGAAUCAAGCUUUAGCUCAAGGAUAUGGUGUGUAUUGUGCACUCCUAGCUUAAGAAUAUACAAAGCAUUCGGAACUACCAUUCCCUACUAAAAAUGAAAAUUUAAACUAUCAUGACAUUUAUGCGUUGUGGUGAUGUGCAUGUGAUUUUGAUUUGCAUAUUAGAUAGUUGGGCUUUUCUUACAUCUUGAUAUUUGGUGUGUUGUUGUGGCCACGAAGAAGAUGCAGUAGCAUGCUGGGAGCGAUAAGUUGUGUGUGUGGCACACACUGGAUUUUGCCGACUAUGAAUUUAAGGAGAUGUUCGCCAUCCGCUUUGGAUCUGGGAGAGUGAGCAUUGAGUACCCUAUAAUUUGUGCAGUUUUAAUGAAGGACAGCUGGAGCUUAUUCAUUUUGAAUCGUUGACGCAUGAUUUGCUUGAGACAAAUCAAGCUGACGAGAUCUGCAAAUGGAUUUGAAGGAAAGAUUUAGAAGGUGAAGGAGCUGAUGAAGAGCAUGCUACAUUCUCACUGUCUUAAUCAUUUUUUUCAUGUACAAUGCAAUACAUGUAUAAGUUUGGUGCUUUGUGCUGACAAGAAUUUUCUGAUUGGCAUCAUUUGUAGUAACUGUGAUGAUCCAGGACGCUCUCAAGAUUACAAGUUCAGUAGUGGCAACCUGGACUUGUGUAAGAAUAAACUGAAUGAUGUUUCAUUCUGAAGAGAUUCCUUACUAUCGACUUGAA